This 495-nucleotide ribosomal RNA is filed under the name uncultured bacterium. RNAcentral describes it as "partial 16S ribosomal RNA". It matches the Rfam family "Bacterial small subunit ribosomal RNA", at positions 28 to 507 of the family's 1533-position model. The record is from RNAcentral.
GACGAACGCUGGCGGCGUGCCUAAUACAUGCAAGUAGAACGCUGAAGGAGGAGCUUGCUUCUCUGGAUGAGUUGCGAACGGGUGAGUAACGCGUAGGUAACCUGCCUGGUAGCGGGGGAUAACUAUUGGAAACGAUAGCUAAUACCGCAUAAGAGUAGAUGUUGCAUGACAUUUGCUUAAAAGGUGCAAUUGCAUCACUACCAGAUGGACCUGCGUUGUAUUAGCUAGUUGGUGGGGUAACGGCUUACCAAGGCGACGAUACAUAGCCGACCUGAGAGGGGGAUCGGCCACACUGGGACGGAGACACGGCCCAGACUCCUACGGGAGGCAGCAGGAGGGAAUCUUCGGAAAUGGACGGAAGUCUGACCGAGCAACGCCGCGUGAGGGAAGAAGGUUUUCGGAUCGUAAAGCUCUGUUGUAAGAGAAGAACGAGGGUGAGAGUGGAAAGUUCACACUGUGACGGUAUCUUACCAGAAAGAGACGGCUAACUACGUG